RNAcentral lists this transfer RNA (73 nucleotides) under Penaeus monodon (black tiger shrimp). Its description in RNAcentral is "tRNA-Val". It matches the Rfam family "tRNA". From Rfam's summary of the family: Transfer RNA (tRNA) molecules are approximately 80 nucleotides in length. Their secondary structure includes four short double-helical elements and three loops (D, anti-codon, and T loops). Lineage: Eukaryota; Metazoa; Arthropoda; Malacostraca; Decapoda; Penaeidae. The record is from RNAcentral.
GCUCUCAUAGUGUAGCGGUUAUCACGUCUGCUUUACACGCAGAAGGUCCCAGGUUCGAACCCUGGUGGGAGCA